UGCGUAGGCGGAAGAUUAAGUCAGUGGUGAAAUCCUGCAGCUCAACUGUAGAACUGUCAUUGAUACUGAUCUUCUUGAAUACAGUUGAGGUAGGCGGAAUAUGUAAUGUAGCGGUGAAAUGCUUAGAUAUUACAUAGAACACCGAUUGCGAAGGCAGCUUACUAAACUGUGAUUGACGCUGAGGCACGAAAGCGUGAGGAGCGAACAGGAUUAGAUACCCUGGUAGUCC
RNAcentral lists this ribosomal RNA (229 nucleotides) under uncultured bacterium. RNAcentral's name for it is "partial 16S ribosomal RNA". It matches the Rfam family "Bacterial small subunit ribosomal RNA", at positions 568 to 796 of the family's 1533-position model. The record is from RNAcentral.